AUGCCAUUACAUGAAAUAAUAGGUAGGAAAUGUAAUCGAAAUCACUGGGAACAGUUGGCCGUCCUUAGAAUAAAAAAAAAAAAUGCGAUCGCUGACGAUUUGGAAAUGUUUCUGUUCAGUGCAACAAUUACAGUUGCACCUGGAUUGCCCAGUCCUGCCCUUGCACUUGGGAGCCAUUAAUCACCACAAAGUGGAAGAAUUAUUAAGUUAAACCAGAGUUUGAGCCAAGAAAACCUCUGAACAAUGUUCAUCUUCUGGGAAAGUUGUUCACAUAGUCAGGCUUAACCGUGUUGCUGCCAGUGACUUUUUCCCAUGCCGUAGUGGGCAUCUGUAUUAGCAUUAUCUUUAUUGGUUAAAAAACAUACAGUUUUGAGCAUGCACCACUUUAUAUGAGAUCUGCAGAUCAGGACAAUUGGGGGAAUUGGGGAGAUGUAGAAUCAGAAAAAAAUAAGAUGAGAUCACGGCAGGGUAGAAAGUUCAGCAGCAGCCUUUUGUGGUAAUUUCUUUCUCCAGGAUCUGUUGUUUAUGGGCUUAGAAACACAGCUUAGCUGUAGAAGCAACAGAAAGCAUGAAAUAGGGUGUCCAUCUUAAAUGUGUUCCUACAACUUUUUUCAUUAAAACUUUGAGGGCCCAAUUUUAAUUUGUGGAAUAUUCCCGUUAAUAAUGAGAUCUAAUUAAGACAUCCAUUAAAAGCCCGUUAAAGUUAAUUUAAUGUAAAAAUUCCAAUAGAACUGUAUUAGAUUUUCUCCAUUAAAUUAACGUUAUGGAUUUUUAACGGAUGUCUUAAUUAUACGUUAUUAUUAACGGGAAUACUGUAUUACACAGAUUAAAAUCAGGUCCUAAGUCAACUUGGAAAAGCUAAGAGCAUGCUUUACUAUUACAACCUUUGUAUAUCUAGUGCAUUGUUUGGAAAUGCAGAGAUAGAUCUGUUUAGCUGUGCAUUUUCUAUACGACUGAAAGCAACCUAUAAUAGAUAAAUCUGUUAUUGCAUUUAAACAAUGAACUUCCUCAUUCUCAAAGGACAAUAAGUCUAGCUUGUGUUGUAAACUGCUGCUCAGCUACAGGUGAAAUAUUUAAACUAUUCUAGGCACAGCACAGGAACUAGAUGAUUCUGAAACACACGAGUCUCUUUUGUUGUUGCUUUAAUUACCAAGGAAAUCUCUGUCAAAUCUUUUAAUACCAACAAAAUGAAGCCAAAUAUCUCCAGAUAUAUCCUCUCGCCAUUUCUCAUGGCACCUGCCUGUUGGAAUUGUUUUGGGAAUUUUGACAUGAUCCCUAAAUUCAACAUUGGAAUUUAAAAAAAAAAAACUUCUUAUUUACCUCCUAGAGAAAGUGUUGCCCUUAUGCCACAUAUAAUAGCAAAUUGCUUUUUUUAUGGCAUGCAUAACCUAGAUGGGAAAAAAUAUGGCGCUUCG
RNAcentral lists this long non-coding RNA (1415 nucleotides) under Bos grunniens (domestic yak). RNAcentral describes it as "lncRNA (ENSBGRG00000005892.1)". The record is from RNAcentral. Lineage: Eukaryota; Metazoa; Chordata; Mammalia; Artiodactyla; Bovidae.